Molecule: ribosomal RNA, 245 nt
Filed under: uncultured bacterium
Lineage: Bacteria
Description: partial 16S ribosomal RNA
Rfam family: Bacterial small subunit ribosomal RNA
Source: RNAcentral
UACUGAGCGGCGGACGGGUGAGUAACGCGUGGGUAACCUGCCUCAUACAGGGGGAUAACAGUUGGAAACGGCUGCUAAUACCGCAUAAGCGCACAGUACCGCAUGGUACGGUGUGAAAAACUCCGGUGGUAUGAGAUGGACCCGCGUCUGAUUAGGUAGUUGGUGGGGUAACGGCCUACCAAGCCGACGAUCAGUAGCCGACCCGAGAGGGUGACCGGCCACAUUGGGACUGAGACACGGCCCAA